ACUAAUCCCCUUUAAGCUAUUGUCAAUGAUUAUGUGUUGAUAAGGACAAGCUCAUGUGCUAACAAGGAUAAGAUCAAGAUAAGCAUUCCUGAGCACUACAUGCUUGAUUCUUGUGGAUGUUCACAUGGUGGACAAAUGAAGAUGAAUACAUAAGCUAGGCUUUCCACAUUGUGUAUGAGAAGAGCUACUUGAAGACUUCAUCAUGUCAUGCUUUCAACUUGAGCCAAGAAGAAACAACAACAUCAAGCUCAAGUGAAAGGGCUAACUCAAAGGUAUUAGUUCCUUUGACGUUAGUGGUGCGGAGUGAUGAUCAGCGAAUAAAAGUAUACAUUCAAGUAUGGAUCAUCGGUACCCUUUUAUAAUUCUUGAGUCCUUAGGGAUCCCGCACUAUUAAGA
Molecule: long non-coding RNA, 396 nt
Filed under: Hordeum vulgare
Lineage: Eukaryota; Viridiplantae; Streptophyta; Magnoliopsida; Poales; Poaceae
Description: long non-coding RNA (HVUL_LNC002187)
Source: RNAcentral